This 451-nucleotide ribosomal RNA is filed under the name uncultured bacterium. RNAcentral describes it as "bacterial SSU rRNA". It matches the Rfam family "Bacterial small subunit ribosomal RNA", at positions 29 to 524 of the family's 1533-position model. The record is from RNAcentral.
AACGAACGCUGGCGGCGUGCCUAACACAUGCAAGUCGUGCGAGACCUUCGGGUCUAGUGGCGCACGGGUGCGUAACGCGUGGGAACCUGCCUUUAGGUUCGGAAUAACUCAGAGAAAUUUGAGCUAAUACCGGAUAAUGUCUUCGGACCAAAGAUUUAUCGCCUUUAGAUGGGCCCGCGUAAGAUUAGCUAGUUGGUGGGGUAAAGGCCUACCAAGGCGACGAUCUUUAGCUGGUCUGAGAGGAUGAUCAGCCACACUGGGACUGAGACACGGCCCAGACUCCUACGGGAGGCAGCAGUGGGGAAUAUUGGACAAUGGGCGAAAGCCUGAUCCAGCAAUGCCGCGUGAGUGAUGAAGGCCUUAGGGGUUGUAAAGCUCUUUUACCCGAGAUGAUAAUGACAGUAUCGGGAGAAUAAGCUCCGGCUAACUCCGUGCCAGCAGCCGCGGUAAU